UCGGGAAUUUUGGGCAAUGGGCGAAAGCCUGACCCAGCAACGCCGCGUGAGGGAUGAAGUAUUUCGGUAUGUAAACCUCGAAAGAAUGGGAAGAAUAAAUGACGGUACCAUUUAUAAGCUCCGGCUAACUACGUGCCAGCAGCCGCGGUAAUACGUAGGGAGCAAGCGUUGUUCGGAUUUACUGGGCGUAAAGGGCGCGUAGGCGGCGCGGUAAGUCACUUGUGAAAUCUCUGAGCUUAACUCAGAACGGCCAAGUGAUACUGCUGUGCUAGAGUGCGGAAGAGGGAACCGGAAUUCUUGGUGUACCGGUGAAAUGCGUAGAUAUCAAGAGGAACACCUGAGGCGAAGGCGGGUUGCUGGGCCGACACUGACGCUGAUGCGCGAAAGCCAGGGGAGCAAACG
RNAcentral lists this ribosomal RNA (402 nucleotides) under uncultured bacterium. RNAcentral describes it as "bacterial SSU rRNA". It matches the Rfam family "Bacterial small subunit ribosomal RNA", at positions 355 to 774 of the family's 1533-position model. The record is from RNAcentral.